Molecule: transfer RNA, 61 nt
Filed under: Rodentolepis nana
Lineage: Eukaryota; Metazoa; Platyhelminthes; Cestoda; Cyclophyllidea; Hymenolepididae
Description: tRNA-Ser
Source: RNAcentral
GCUAAUAAAAUAAAAUUUGAUUUGAAAUCAAAUUAAUUGUUUUUAUAAAACAAUAUUAGCU